CCUACGGGAGGCAGCAGUAAGGAAUAUUGGUCAAUGGACGAAAGUCUGAACCAGCCAUGCCGCGUGAAGGAUGACGGCCCUCUGGGUUGUAAACUUCUUUUAUAUGGGACGAAAAAAGGGAAUUCUUUCUCACUUGACGGUACCAUAGGAAUAAGCACCGGCUAACUCCGUGCCAGCAGCCGCGGUAAUACGGAGGGUGCAAGCGUUAUCCGGAUUCACUGGGUUUAAAGGGUGCGUAGGUGGGUAGGUAAGUCAGUGGUGAAAUCUCCGAGCUUAACUCGGAAACUGCCAUUGAUACUAUGUAUCUUGAAUUUUUUGGAGGUGAGCGGAAUAUGUCAUGUAGCGGUGAAAUGCUUAGAUAUGACAUAGAACACCAAUUGCGAAGGCAGCUCACUACGAAAUUAUUGACACUGAGGCACGAAAGCGUGGGGAUCAAACAGGAUUAGAUACCCUGGUAGUCCACGCCCUAAACGAUGGAUACUCGACAUCAGCGAUACACUGUUGGUGUCUGNGNGAAGACAUAUAUCCNCCNGGAGACGACGCGAGUAGAACGUACGAAAGAAGUAGACGCGUGAGACGNGCGACGGACGACGACGAGGGAGGAGG
This 606-nucleotide ribosomal RNA is filed under the name uncultured bacterium. Its description in RNAcentral is "bacterial SSU rRNA". The stretch from base 1 to 531 matches the Rfam family "Bacterial small subunit ribosomal RNA", at positions 338 to 873 of the family's 1533-position model. The record is from RNAcentral.